Molecule: long non-coding RNA, 307 nt
Filed under: Dromaius novaehollandiae (emu)
Lineage: Eukaryota; Metazoa; Chordata; Aves; Casuariiformes; Dromaiidae
Description: lncRNA (ENSDNVG00000013801.1)
Source: RNAcentral
CAGGGAUGAGGGGCCAAGGAGAGAAGCCAUGACUGGAUGGGCACAGCAGGAAGGGUGGAGCUCAUGGACCUYUUUGCAGCAGCUCUUCCAUCGGCAAAGAGAAAUCAGGCGGUCGAGGGAGGCUUUCCACCAUUUGGGGAUCAUCUUCUGCUGCUGUAAGUGCCAGAAGUAUCCCAUCCCGCCAUCCCUGCUGCCAGCCAAAYGUCAGGCUCUCAGGGGAGAAGGAGGAACCGGAGGGGAUUUCCCUGCUGGCUCCCAGCACAGGCAAGGCUGCAAGGGAACCUGUUUUUGGCUUGCUUGGAUGUAG